AUGCAUGGCUAAAAGAUCUUGAAGUAAACUAUCACCGAAAGUCAAUAUUAGGGCUGAAAGUGCAUGCAGAUGCUGAAAACAUGCUCCAACACGGAAAGAAAUAGGGGAAGUUUCACAGCCAGAACAACUUAUCAUUUUUUCUGCACAAAUUAUUGUUUUGAGAAGAUUAUCAUAUAACUCCUCUACAUUCAAAUUUUCCAUUGAUGAUUUGAAUAGAUAUUCCCAUGAGGUGAUAUUCUCUGAUGACUCUUC
Molecule: unclassified non-coding RNA, 252 nt
Filed under: Hevea brasiliensis (rubber tree)
Lineage: Eukaryota; Viridiplantae; Streptophyta; Magnoliopsida; Malpighiales; Euphorbiaceae
Source: RNAcentral